This 309-nucleotide ribosomal RNA is filed under the name uncultured archaeon. Its description in RNAcentral is "bacterial SSU rRNA". It matches the Rfam family "Archaeal small subunit ribosomal RNA", at positions 526 to 834 of the family's 1478-position model. The record is from RNAcentral.
UGGCCAGACAAGUUCGUCGGGAAAUCCAUCCGCUCAACGGAUGGGCGUCCGGCGAAAACUCUCUGGCUUGGGACCGUGAGGCCCGAGGGGUACGUCUGGGGUAGGAGUGAAAUCCCGUAAUCCUGGACGGACCACCGAUGGCGAAAGCACCUCGGGAGAACGGAUCCGACAGUGAGGGACGAAAGCUGGGGUCUCGAACCGGAUUAGAUACCCGGGUAGUCCCAGCUGUAAACGAUGUUCGCUAGGUGUGGCACAGGCUACGCGCCUGUGCUGUGCCGUAGGGAAGCCGCUAAGCGAACCGCCUGGGAA